RNAcentral lists this ribosomal RNA (1440 nucleotides) under Halomonas alimentaria. Its description in RNAcentral is "bacterial SSU rRNA". It matches the Rfam family "Bacterial small subunit ribosomal RNA". The record is from RNAcentral. Lineage: Bacteria; Pseudomonadati; Pseudomonadota; Gammaproteobacteria; Oceanospirillales; Halomonadaceae.
UAGAGUUUGAUCAUGGCUCAGAUUGAACGCUGGCGGCAGGCCUAACACAUGCAAGUCGAGCGGAAACGAUGGAAGCUUGCUUCCAGGCGUCGAGCGGCGGACGGGUGAGUAAUGCAUAGGAAUCUGCCCGAUAGUGGGGGAUAACCUGGGGAAACCCAGGCUAAUACCGCAUACGUCCUACGGGAGAAAGCAGGGGAUCUUCGGACCUUGCGCUAUCGGAUGAGCCUAUGUCGGAUUAGCUAGUUGGUGAGGUAAUGGCUCACCAAGGCUGCGAUCCGUAGCUGGUCUGAGAGGAUGAUCAGCCACAUCGGGACUGAGACACGGCCCGAACUCCUACGGGAGGCAGCAGUGGGGAAUAUUGGACAAUGGGCGAAAGCCUGAUCCAGCCAUGCCGCGUGUGUGAAGAAGGCUUUCGGGUUGUAAAGCACUUUCAGUGGGGAAGAAAUCCUCGGGGCCAAUACCCUCGAGGGAGGACAUCACCCACAGAAGAAGCACCGGCUAACUCCGUGCCAGCAGCCGCGGUAAUACGGAGGGUGCGAGCGUUAAUCGGAAUUACUGGGCGUAAAGCGCGCGUAGGCGGCGUGAUAAGCCGGUUGUGAAAGCCCCGGGCUCAACCUGGGAACGGCAUCCGGAACUGUCAGGCUAGAGUGCAGGAGAGGAAGGUAGAAUUCCCGGUGUAGCGKUGAAAUGCGUAGAGAUCGGGAGGAAUACCAGUGGCGAAGGCGGCCUUCUGGACUGACACUGACGCUGAGGUGCGAAAGCGUGGGUAGCAAACAGGAUUAGAUACCCUGGUAGUCCACGCCGUAAACGAUGUCGACUAGCCGUUGGGGUCCUUGUGACCUUUGUGGCSCAGUUAACGCGAUAAGUCGACCGCCUGGGGAGUACGGCCGCAAGGUUAAAAYUCAAAUGAAUUGACGGGGGCCCGCMCAAGCGGUGGAGCAUGUGGUUUAAUUCGAUGCAACGCGAAGACCCUUACCUACUCUUGACWUCGUGCGAACUUUCCAGAGAUGGAUUGGUGCCUUCGGGAACGCACAGACAGGUGCUGCAUGGCCGUCGUCAGCUCGUGUUGUGAAAUGUUGGGUUAAGUCCCGUAMCGAGCGCAACCCUUGUCCCUAUUUGCCAGCGAUUCGGUCGGGAACUCUAGGGAGACUGCCGGUGACAAACCGGAGGAAGGUGGGGACGACGUCAGGUCAUCAUGGCCCUUACGAGUAGGGCUACACACGUGCUACAAUGGCCGGUACAAAGGGUUGCGAAGCCGCGAGGUGGAGCUAAUCCCGAAAAGCCGGUCUCAGUCCGGAUCGGAGUCUGCAACUCGACUCCGUGAAGUCGGAAUCGCUAGUAAUCGUGAAUCAGAAUGUCACGGUGAAUACGUUCCCGGGCCUUGUACACACCGCCCGUCACACCAUGGGAGUGGACUGCACCAGAAGGGUUAGCCUAACU